Molecule: ribosomal RNA, 251 nt
Filed under: uncultured bacterium
Lineage: Bacteria
Description: partial 16S ribosomal RNA
Rfam family: Bacterial small subunit ribosomal RNA
Source: RNAcentral
UACGGAAGGUGCGAGCGUUGUUCGGAUUGAUUGGGCGUAAAGCGCAUGUAGGCGGGUUUGUAAGUCGGAUGUGAAAUCCCCGGGCUUAACCUGGGAACUGCAUUUGUGACUGCAUCGCUGGAGUGCGGCAGAGGGGGAUGGAAUUCCGCGUGUAGCAGUGAAAUGCGUAGAUAUGCGGAGGAACACCGAUGGCGAAGGCAAUUCCCUGGGCCUGCACUGACGCUCAUGCACAAAGCGUGGGAGCAAACAGG